RNAcentral lists this ribosomal RNA (1044 nucleotides) under Triticum aestivum (bread wheat). RNAcentral describes it as "partial small subunit ribosomal RNA". The record is from RNAcentral. Lineage: Eukaryota; Viridiplantae; Streptophyta; Magnoliopsida; Poales; Poaceae.
AUGUCCCAACCAAUCGAGUCUACAUAUCUCGGGAUGUUGUUUUUGAUGCGACUGUCCUCCCCUUUUCUACCAUGCCUCAUUCAUCCACCACAACACCUUCUAUGCAUUCAUCUCCUCUUAUGCCUGGCCAAUUUGAAGAUGUUGCAUAUUCGCCUGUGUUGUUACCUAAUCAUGGUGCAGGAAUUGGACGUGGAGCUCGCCUGGAACUCCUCCCUGACGGACCCGCUACGUCGCCUGUGGUGCACGUCGAUCGGCCGGUGCAUGCGGCAGCCACCUGGAUUUGUUGAUCACACUCAACCUCAUCAUCUCUGUCAUCUGACGAAGGCCAUAUAUGGACUGAAGCAGGCUCCCCGUGCCUGGCAUGCUCGCCUGGCUUCAGCUCUACGCACUCAUGGGUUCAUUCCUUCGACAACUGAUACUUCACUGUUCUUGUUUCAGCGACCGAGUGUGACCAUGUACCUCCUUGUGUAUGUGGAUGAUAUUGUCCUGGUGAACUCAUCUCCGACGGCUGCUGAUGCUCUUGUGACUGCACUUGGUCGUGAUUUUGUAGUUAAGGAUUUGGGACAACUUCAUUUCUUCCUGGGUAUUGAGGUCGCUCAUCAGUCUCGUGGCAGUUUGGCUCUCACCCAGAAGAAGUACUCUCUUGAUCUCUUGCGCCGUGCUGGUAUGCUCAAGUGCAAGCCAUCGCCUACGCCCAUGUCCUCCACUGACACCCUUUCUGCUGCUGAUGGUGCUCUUCUCUCUCCUGAGGAUGCUACUGAGUACAGGAGUAUUGUUGGUGGCCUGCAGUAUCUGACGAUCACGCGUCCUGAUCUCUCCUUUGCGGUUAACAGGGUGUGCCACUAUCUUCAUGCUCCCACUGAUGUACACUGGUCUGCUGUGAAGCACAUACUGCGUUAUGUGCGUCUCACUGUCUCCUUUGGUCUUCACCUGCACCCCAGUUCCUCCGGAGUUCUUUCUGCAUUCUUUGAUGCUGAUUGGGCUGGGUGUCCAGAUGACAGGCGAUCCACGGGGGACAUGCUGUGUUCUUGGGUCCUAAUCUGA